RNAcentral lists this ribosomal RNA (207 nucleotides) under uncultured bacterium. Its description in RNAcentral is "partial 16S ribosomal RNA". It matches the Rfam family "Bacterial small subunit ribosomal RNA", at positions 568 to 774 of the family's 1533-position model. The record is from RNAcentral.
CGCGUAGGCGGGUGAUCAAGUCAGGGGUGAAAUCUCUCGGCUCAACCGGAAAAGUGCCUUUGAUACUGGUCAUCUCGAGGGAGGUAGGGGCAUGUGGAACUUCCGGUGGAGCGGUGAAAUGCGUAGAUAUCGGAAGGAACGCCGGUGGCGAAAGCGACGUGCUGGACCUUUUCUGACGCUGAGGCGCGAAAGCCAGGGGAGCAAACG